UCAAACUUGGUCAUUUAGAGGAAGUAAAAGUCGUAACAAGGUUUCCGUAGGUGAACCUGCGGAAGGAUCAUUAACGUGUUCGUUCGGCCGUUCGGGUCGGCCCUGCACCGGCGGAGACGCCGUGCUGCGGGCUCCCGGGCGUGCCUUCCAAACCAAACCCCUGUGAACCUUUGGGAGGGCCGAGCCCCCGCUCCGGCGGGUGUGCGACGCCGUCCCCUUUACAAACUCUUUCGUAUCAUAGAAUGACUGCGGACCUCGUCCGCCUAAACACAUAACAACUUUCAACAACGGAUCUCUUGGCUCUCGCAUCGAUGAAGAACGCAGC
RNAcentral lists this unclassified non-coding RNA (325 nucleotides) under uncultured fungus. RNAcentral's name for it is "partial contains small subunit ribosomal RNA, internal transcribed spacer 1, and 5.8S ribosomal RNA". The stretch from base 1 to 73 matches the Rfam family "Eukaryotic small subunit ribosomal RNA", at positions 1759 to 1831 of the family's 1831-position model. Lineage: Eukaryota; Fungi. The record is from RNAcentral.